GACGAACGCUGGCGGCGUGCUUAACACAUGCAAGUCGAACGGAAAGGCCCUGCUUUUGUGGGGUGCUCGAGUGGCGAACGGGUGAGUAACACGUGAGUAACCUGCCCUUGACUUUGGGAUAAUUUCAGGAAACUGGGGCUAUACCGGAUAGGAGCUCCUGCUGCAUGGUGGGGGUUGGAAAGUUUCGGCGGUUGGGGAUGGACUCGCGGCUUAUCAGCUUGUUGGUGGGGUAGUGGCUUACCAAGGCUUUGACGGGUAGCCGGCCUGAGAGGGUGACCGGCCACAUUGGGACUGAGAUACGGCCCAGACUCCUACGGGAGGCAGCAGUGGGGAAUAUUGCACAAUGGGCGGAAGCCUGAUGCAGCAACGCCGCGUGCGGGAUGACGGCCUUCGGGUUGUAAACCGCUUUCGCCUGUGACGAAGCGUGAGUGACGGUAAUGGGUAAAGAAGCACCGGCUAACUACGUG
This 467-nucleotide ribosomal RNA is filed under the name uncultured bacterium. RNAcentral's name for it is "partial 16S ribosomal RNA". It matches the Rfam family "Bacterial small subunit ribosomal RNA", at positions 28 to 507 of the family's 1533-position model. The record is from RNAcentral.